Molecule: long non-coding RNA, 709 nt
Filed under: Carassius auratus (goldfish)
Lineage: Eukaryota; Metazoa; Chordata; Actinopteri; Cypriniformes; Cyprinidae
Description: lncRNA (ENSCARG00000041663.1)
Source: RNAcentral
UACGUUUAUAUAACAAUUUUCUGGUCACUUAAAGCGCUUUACAUAGAACGGGGUAAUGUCCUCAAACACCACCUAAAGUGCAAAGAUAAUGGAUAUUGAUAAAAUCUUUAUCCUUUAAAUAUUCUCAGGAUACUUCUCAGAUGUUUAAGAGUGUUCCUUGCCUGAAAAAGUGAUGGGAAGCAGAUGAACUCCUUUCUCAUGAAAAUCCAAUCUCAUCAUAGUGGAGAAGUCCAAUAAAUUCAACUGAGAACAUAUUUCAUCUUAAGUCCAGAAGAAGGAUUCCCAAAACCUUACCUGCUGUCUAACACCGCGGCUUCCCCGCUCUGCAAGCUCCGGUCUCCAGUUCUCCCCUGAGCCCAGUCAAGCCUCCGCCUCGCCAGCCUGCUGGUCGUUCCUGCCACAGAGGUCUGCUGAGUUAAUUGUACUACCCAGCCUACGGGUCAGAACCACCCGGACAGAAACAACUGCGUGUCAAAUGGUGCCCGGACACCGGAUCCUCUUCUUUGUAUAAGACUGUAAAGGGGUGCAAGCAAGGUAAUGAUGCCUCAGAUUUUAAAUUGAAAGGCAUUUAUAGAAUAUCAUAAUGGGUACAGGAACUAUGAAAGCAUCUCAUCUUAAUUGUCAAGAAUAUAAAAUAGGAUAUUUUGAACAAUCGCAUUUAUUCAUUUAACAGACCUUUUCAAUGUUUCAAUGUUUCAGCUGUUUUUGU